RNAcentral lists this transfer RNA (61 nucleotides) under Trissolcus basalis. RNAcentral's name for it is "tRNA-Cys". Lineage: Eukaryota; Metazoa; Arthropoda; Insecta; Hymenoptera; Scelionidae. The record is from RNAcentral.
ACAUUGUAAUUUAUUUAAAAUAUAAAAUUGCAAAUUUUAAAAUGCUUUAAAGCCAAUUGUG